UACCAGCACCCCGAGUGGUCGGGACGAUUAUUGGGCCUAAAGCAUCCGUAGCCGGUUCUACAAGUCUUCCGUUAAAUCCACCUGCUCAACAGAUGGGCUGCGGAGGAUACUAUAGAGCUAGGAGGCGGGAGAGGCAAGCGGUACUUAGUGGGUAGGGGUAAAAUCCGUUGAUCCAUUGAAGACCACCAGUGGCGAAGGCGGCUUGCCAGAACGCACUCGACGGUGAGGGGUGAAAGCUGGGGGAGCAAACCGG
RNAcentral lists this ribosomal RNA (253 nucleotides) under uncultured bacterium. RNAcentral describes it as "partial 16S ribosomal RNA". It matches the Rfam family "Archaeal small subunit ribosomal RNA", at positions 474 to 727 of the family's 1478-position model. The record is from RNAcentral.